UUUCUGACUGUUACUUUAUUCUUUUUCAUUUGUUUUUUGUCCAGUUAUUUUCAUUUUUUUGUUAUGGUACUGUAGCAUAUAAAUAUAUAUAUAUUCAGUUAACUUCAGUUAUUAAUAUCAGUUUAAUUUCAGUGUAUUUUCAGUGUAUUUUCAAUGUACUUCAGUGUAUUUCAGUGUAUUUUCAGUGUAUUUGCAGUUUAUUAAUUUUGUUUUCACUUAUAU
This 222-nucleotide long non-coding RNA is filed under the name Nicotiana benthamiana. Its description in RNAcentral is "long non-coding RNA (NBEN_LNC024931)". The record is from RNAcentral. Lineage: Eukaryota; Viridiplantae; Streptophyta; Magnoliopsida; Solanales; Solanaceae.